RNAcentral lists this long non-coding RNA (260 nucleotides) under Elaeis guineensis (African oil palm). RNAcentral's name for it is "long non-coding RNA (EGUI_LNC040822)". The record is from RNAcentral. Lineage: Eukaryota; Viridiplantae; Streptophyta; Magnoliopsida; Arecales; Arecaceae.
CCUGUAAUUCUGAUCAAUCGAUCCAAAAUAUUGGUCAACAUUGAGAAUUGUGUCCCAAAGCCAAUCAUCAGUCUGUUGACGGUUGUGCUUAUCAUUGUAAUUGUAUAUGAAUUAUUGAAUUAAUAAAUAUUAUUUAGUUUUCUCAUCACUAUGUACAUCUCAUUUUGAACUCCUGUUAUGUGAUGAAGUCUUUAGGACUAUUUGAUUCAAUAUAGGAGGAUAUAUCAUUUAGUCUUUAAACCUUAAGUUCAUGAUCAAAU